UACAGAGGGGGCAAGCGUUACUCGGAAUUACUGGGCGUAAAGCGUGCGUAGGUGGUUCGUUAAGUCUGUCGUGAAAGCCCCGGGCUCAACCUGGGAAUGGCGAUGGAUACUGGCGGGCUAGAGUGCGGUAGAGGAGGGUGGAAUUCCCGGUGUAGCAGUGAAAUGCGUAGAGAUCGGGAGGAACAUCAGUUGCGAAGGCGGCUCUCUGGACCAGCACUGACACUGAGGCACGAAAGCGUGGGGAGCAAACAGG
This 253-nucleotide ribosomal RNA is filed under the name uncultured bacterium. RNAcentral's name for it is "partial 16S ribosomal RNA". It matches the Rfam family "Bacterial small subunit ribosomal RNA", at positions 524 to 776 of the family's 1533-position model. The record is from RNAcentral.